RNAcentral lists this ribosomal RNA (253 nucleotides) under uncultured bacterium. RNAcentral describes it as "partial 16S ribosomal RNA". It matches the Rfam family "Bacterial small subunit ribosomal RNA", at positions 524 to 776 of the family's 1533-position model. The record is from RNAcentral.
UACGGAGGGGGCAAGCGUUGUUCGGAAUCAUUGGGCGUAAAGGGCGUGUAGGCGGUCGAUCAAGUCGGAGGUGAAAUCCCUCGGCUCAACUGAGGAAUUGCCUUCGAUACUGUUCGGCUUGAGUCCUGGAGAGGGUAGCGGAAUUCCCGGUGUAGCGGUGAAAUGCGUAGAUAUCGAGAGGAACACCAGUGGCGCCAGCGGCUGACUGGCCGAGACCUGACGCUGAGACACGACGGCGUGGGGAGCAAACCGG